UGGACAAUGAGUCCCAUCAUCUCUCCACCAUGCACCUUGUGACUCCCUCCUCUGCUGACAACAGAUAACCACCUUUAACUGUAACUUUCCACAGCCUACCCCAGCCCUAUAAAGCUGCCCCUCUCCUAUCUCCCUUCGCUGACUCUCUUUUCAGACUCAGCCCACUUGCACCCAAGUGAAUUAACAGCCUUGUUGCUCACACAAAGCCUGUUUAGGUGGUCUUCUAUACGGACAUGCUUGACACUUGGUGCCAAAAUCUGGGCCAGGGGGACUCCUUCGUGAGACCGGCCCCCUGUCCUGGCCCUCAUUCCGUGAAGAGAUCCACCUGCGACCUCGGGUCCUCAGACCAGCCCAAGGAACAUCUCACCAAUUUCAAAUCGGGGUCCCUGGAGCUCUGGCUCAAAGCUCUCUGGCUGACUCCUUCCCAGAUCUCCUCGGCUUAGUGGCUGAAGACUGAUGCUGCCCGAUCGCCUCAGAAGCCCCUUGGACCAUCACAGAUGCCGAGCUUCGGGUAACUCUUACGGUGGAGGAUUCCCAGCCAUAUGAAGACACCCUAGCUGGACGAUCAGUCCUUGUCAAAAGUCUGACCCCUCAAACUCUACAGCCUCAAUGGACCAGACCCUACCCGGUCAUUUAUAGCACACCAACUGCCGUCCAUCUGCAGGACCCUCUCCAUUGGGUUCACCAUUCCAGAAUAAAGCCAUGCCCAUCAGACAGCCAGCUUGAUCUCUCCUCUUCCUCCUGGAAGCCACAAGAUUAGGCCGAGAGCCGAUCAGACAAACAACCUACAACCCUUAAGCUCCUGGCAGCGCCCAGCCAAGGCCAUGCUUCCUUGCAACACUCCUUCCAAAUGGCCAUCCCAGCAUGCUUCCAAGCAGGCUUCAUCCGUUCCUCUGGACCCUCAUCUCUUAAGACCUGCCGCCUAUAAAAAGGAUUAUAUCUUGAGACCCUAUCCUCUAAAAUUUUUUCCACACCCAAAACAAAAAAUCUCUGGGUCAAAAGUCUAAAACGCUUAGGCUGGCAACCAUCAGAUCCUUGCCCAUGGUGUCCUCAAGCCUACUCUCAUGAAAUGGACAACAGUACACGCAUAUGGGGCCAGUUCCACAUAUUUGGCAACCAGACCAGCAUCCAGGACAACACAAAGUAUGUUGUUUGUUGUUAGAGGGCUUGGGACAUUUCACUCUUUGCCAGCCUCAGCUUAAUCCAGGAGACAAAGAUUAUUUUCCUUAUUAUCUCUUCUGCAUAGGAUCUGCAAUCAGAACUAUUGAACUUCUCCAUUCAGACCGCCACUCACACCUAUGGGAAAAGGGUAAUGUAUCAUCGGCUUAGCAACAGGGAAUACUAUUCGUAUGAUGGAAAAUGGGGACAAAAGGCUUUGGUACAUAAAACAUUAUUCCUUCCUUGGCCUAAAAACUCAUCGCCACCUACAUUAAAGCUAAUAUGCCUGAUUACUGUUUUUAGAGAACUUAUUUUAUUAGGGCAGUUCCAAGCUCAAAAAUACGCUAACUGGCACCUUGUUAGCUACAUAAAAAUGCACCCUAGACCCGAAACUUACUAGACUCAUUAUAAAAUUUUCUUUAAGGUGUCCACGCAGUCCCUGGUCACACUUGAAGCAGUCCGGAGAAAUAUCAGCCCUACCCCAGUAAUCCCCAGAAGGAACUUACACUUUUUUUUAAUCUUUUCCUACAACUUCAUAUUUUAUAAAUAAAAAGACAAAAAUGUCAG
Molecule: long non-coding RNA, 1725 nt
Organism: Homo sapiens (human)
Lineage: Eukaryota; Metazoa; Chordata; Mammalia; Primates; Hominidae
Gene: UCA1
Product: urothelial cancer associated 1
Source: Ensembl